Molecule: unclassified non-coding RNA, 286 nt
Filed under: Pleosporales sp.
Lineage: Eukaryota; Fungi; Ascomycota; Dothideomycetes; Pleosporales
Description: partial contains 5.8S ribosomal RNA, internal transcribed spacer 2, and large subunit ribosomal RNA
Rfam family: 5.8S ribosomal RNA (bases 1-71)
Source: RNAcentral
GUGAGUCAUCGAAUCUUUGAACGCACAUUGCGCCCCUUGGUAUUCCAUGGGGCAUGCCUGUUCGAGCGUCAUUUGAACCCUCAAGCUCUGCUUGGUGUUGGGUGUUUGUCCCGCCUCUGCGUGUGGACUCGCCUUAAAGGAAUUGGCGGCCAUGGAAUUCGGCUUUGAGCGCAGCACAUUGCGGACUCUUUGCUGGUACAUUGGCGUCCAGAAGCCCUUUUUUUACUCUUGACCUCGGAUCAGGUAGGGAUACCCGCUGAACUUAAGCAUAUCAAUAAGCGGAGGA